Molecule: ribosomal RNA, 507 nt
Filed under: Vreelandella venusta
Lineage: Bacteria; Pseudomonadati; Pseudomonadota; Gammaproteobacteria; Oceanospirillales; Halomonadaceae
Description: bacterial SSU rRNA
Rfam family: Bacterial small subunit ribosomal RNA
Source: RNAcentral
GAGGAAGGUAGAAUUCCCGGUGUAGCGGUGAAAUGCGUAGAGAUCGGGAGGAAUACCAGUGGCGAAGGCGGCCUUCUGGACUGACACUGACACUGAGGUGCGAAAGCGUGGGUAGCAAACAGGAUUAGAUACCCUGGUAGUCCACGCCGUAAACGAUGUCGACCAGCCGUUGGGUGCCUAGCGCACUUUGUGGCGAAGUUAACGCGAUAAGUCGACCGCCUGGGGAGUACGGCCGCAAGGUUAAAACUCAAAUGAAUUGACGGGGGCCCGCACAAGCGGUGGAGCAUGUGGUUUAAUUCGAUGCAACGCGAAUAACCUUACCUACUCUUGACAUCCUGCGAACUUGUGAGAGAUCACUUUGGUGCCUUCGGGAACGCAGAGACAGGUGCUGCAUGGCUGUCGUCAGCUCGUGUUGUGAAAUGUUGGGGUUAAGUCCCGUAACGAGCGCAACCCUUGUCCUUAUUGGCCAGCGCGUAAAGGCUGGAACUCUAAGGAGACUGCCCGGUG